Long non-coding RNA from Columba livia (rock pigeon), 5110 nucleotides. RefSeq lists it as uncharacterized. The record is from RefSeq and is a predicted model, not a curated record. NCBI's taxonomy places the organism in Eukaryota, Metazoa, Chordata, Aves, Columbiformes, Columbidae. The transcript has 5 exons.
CAUAUCCUCUUUGGCAGCUUUACGUUUUCUUGAACCUCUCCGAGCUGCUUAUACAACUGAUAUCUGAGCAGCACACAAAUCUUCAUUUGUGACCUUCAUAUACAGUCAACUGGGGCCAUGUGCCUUCAGCACUGCGUGAUUGAGGCUCCUUGUAAUUUCACUCUUCAGUGCUCCAUUGCAGGCUGGAAAAGAAAGCAAGCCUUGAUGUAAGGCCAUAGAAGAAAACAACACAAUCAGAUUCAUCAUUUUUUUUUCCCACUCUCAGGUUCAGGUUCAACUUGUCCAAACCUGUCCCCUCUUUGUUCUGGUCCGCAUGCAAAGAAAAGCCCUUGCUAGUGGGUGCAUACAGUGACUCUCUCAAACAGGGUUAAGUUAGUAUACAGGAGUUCCAUGGGAUCCCUUACACCUGGGCCUGAUUCUGCCACCUGGGGUGACACCACAGUGGGUACAUAGCUGAACAGCAUUUGUUGGCUUACUGUGUGUUAGUAAGGGUGGCAGAAGAAUGGAGGCACAGUAGGUAGCACUGAUGGAGAAUUUAGGAUUUUGUUGGUUUUUUUGUUUUUUUUUUUUUUUCCCCAGAUGUGGUUUCUUAAGAACUGUUACUGGAAAAACUUUAGAUUUAACAAAUCAAAAUUAAAAAAACAAACAAACCCAUCCAAACCCAAAAAGUAAGGAAAUAGGGUUUGUUUUUGUUUUGUUUUUUUUUAAAUUGCAUCUAAUUGAUAAUCUGACUGCUUUGGAGAAAAAUACGUUUUAAUGUGAAAAUAUCUGUUUUGGUCGGAAUAAAUAUUUUCCACUGGAGUAAAGACAGAUGGAAUAUUUUCGCCCAUUCCUGCAGCAGUGUCUCACUCCUGACUGCGUGUAGCUAGUUUGGAGGAAUAAGCUUCUUUAAGGGUUCAGACUAUUAAAAACAUCUGCUUUCCCAUGUAUCCUGAAACACUGCAAUAUUUGCAAAUGGAGAACAUGUAUCAUGUUUGUCCUAGCCACCAUAAAACAUCGGCUCCACAGUUUAAAUUGUGGGAUUUUAAUUAUGGUGUGGAUAUAUUAUUCAGUCCUAUGUAAUGCACUUCUCGUUAUGGUGCUGUGAUCUCUUUUCCUUGGUUGGAACUGGGCCAGUUGACCAUAUUUGCAGUGUGUGGCCAAACAUCAAAUGCAUCCGAAUAAGCAAAGUAAUCACUUCCAGACUAAACACAAUUCAAAUUUGUUUAAAAUAUUGAACAAGCUUCAUCACUGGGAGAUGUCUCUCUGUGACAUCAAGCCCCUAUGAUGUGUCACUGCUAGUGCCAAUCGCUUUUUCUCGUGUUUAGGUCUAAAAGCACUGGGUUCCCUGAACUCCACUGAAAUCUUCCUUUGACUGCGGUAACUCCUGGCUGAGCACCAGUCUCUGUUUUACAUCUGAGCAUCUCCAAGAAUUAACAGCUACGUCUUCAGUGGCCCCUGUGGAACAAAGAGUUGUAACAGUUCUCCUUCUCUUUCAUAUGGGAAAGCUGGAUUGUGAACAGACAAUAAUCCUCAUCUGUUUAGCUUGGAAUAUCUUGGGGGAAGCUGGUGACAGUACUAGAGGAAAGCAGAGAUUUGGCAUUAGCUGAGUUCACUGCAAGGCCCUUAUUUUUCUAGCAAAACUGUUUGCUGGUGGUCAGGGAGAAAGGGAAGCAAAGGUGCUUCAGAUCUCAGCUGUGCUGGAAGAGCAAGUAGAGCCUAUGCAUGUGUGUGACUUUUAUUCCUUCCUACUUGCACACACUUUAACAGUUAGGAAUUUUUUAGGCUUUUUUUCUGUUUUAUUGUUUAGUCCUGAUGCUGUCCUGACAGCAUGCUCUUCGCUUCUUCUUGCUUUCUUUGCCUUUUAAUUUAAUUCACCAAGGCACUGAGGUAGAAGUCUGUAUGUUUAUAUUGCAUUUUGAAGACAGAGCAGCGAGCACUUUAUCUGAAUGGCAACAUAUUCUACAUGCAUUCAGGUGCUGUUCUAAGCGUGUCUCAUCCUGUUAUGUGUGGUACCAAAGGCAGUGAGGAUGUCCAGUGCUUGCAGAGCCACUUGUAAGUGGUCCCACAGCAAGAGGGCAGCAGUGCUGCUGUAGAUGCUGGCCAGGAGAUGUGAUGCUUGGCUAAAGCUCUGCUUGUGUUACAGAAUAAGGGUAGGACAGUACAGCCCUCCUGCCUACAUAUAUGCUCUUUUGCUAAUUUGGCUGUUUUCUUGCUGGCUACGUUUCUGUGGUUGUGGAAAGAGUUUAUAAUGCAUCUGUGGUCCUUAAAAAUUCUCUGGCUCCCUAUUUCUCUGAAGUGAAGGGUGCUAUUAAAUAUAGCCUCCCACCAAAUUCCAGUGACUAAUCACACGCAGACCAUAGUUCCAAACUAGCCAUGACUCAGACACCAACGACCCUCUGAGUAACGCUGCAGGAAGAGCUAAAACACUCCUUCCCUGGUCUAGCACAGGCAAUGGGAAUGCUGAAUAAGAGCAGAUCAAAUAACAGGGCUGGUUCCUAAGCCAAAAAAAAAAAGGGCGUCUGCAGCCACUAGGUAUUGCUCAAUGUUAACACUGAGCUUUCACAUGGCCACAGCUGAAGCGUGGUGAAGAAGCUGAACACAGAUGAUGCAAAGGGCUGAGGCAGACUCACUUUCUCUGAGCAGAGGUGACAGGAGAAGUCUUCAUCGAGAAGCUUUGCUUUGAGUUUAACAAGACAUUUAGGCAGGGCAGAGGGGAGGCCUUGGUCCCAGUGACACCAUUUAUGUUUAAAGUUAGGUGUAAGUUUGAGCAUCCUGCUGGUAUCGUGCUUUGGAUGAGAGUUAAAGGAUCAGUUCCUGAACAAGCUUAUUCCCACCUAGAGAUGCAGUUUUCAUCUUAGACUUCUUAAGUUCUUUACAACUGAACUCUGCCUUCCUGUUUCAAAAUCAUUUUUCUUGAAUAGCAACGUGGUCUAUCGUUUCAACCUGCUCCUGUAAUGCUUGUGCUUGCUGCAAUUAUUUUUGUACGCUCCAAAGUGUCAUUUUUUUUUUCUCUAAUUGUACCUAAAUAGUAAAUGACACAUUGAAGAACAUGACACAUGAUUGUUUCAAAAUUGUUUGAAUACAAGAAUGAAGAUAGAGAGUCUGUGGCAAGUUGCUGUGUUUAUGAAUAAAUGGGCUCAAAUAAAUUAGCUUCCCAAAGCAAGUGCAGCCACUAAAAAGUCCUUCUAAAUGUUUCUGGCUUUUCUGAACACAUUCUUACCAGUAUGUUCAGUUAGAAAAAUGCUUUUAUAUCUACUGAGAAAUGUCUAUUCUGAUUUUUCAGAACCCGAAGUUCUGAAACUUAAAACAAAAAAGUGCCACUGUUUAUAUUCCAAGAGCAUUCAAGAUUUUCUUUAAGAAGUUGCUUUCCUCAAAGUUUUUGUUUUGUUAAGAAGAGGGUGUUCAGAGCUAAGGCUGGAUACACAGUUUUGUCAUGUUUAUGAAGUCUUGAAAGCAUCUGGAUACAGUAUGGAAACCUCAACCAAAAACUUCUUCAAGUCUCUUUUUAAUAUAAUCAUCUGGGCUUACUCCAUUAAACUAUGUAUUUAUUGGAUUUGUAUGGAAGAUGAGGUAAGAAUCAAACUGAUAUUGUUGAAUUUAAGGGUGUUGCUAAGAUUAUAUCACUUUGAGGAUGUUAAAUUGUGCAUGUUAAUAGUAUGCACUUUCAGUGCCUAAUUGCUACUUCUACAAUUGAUUCACAACCAUCACAGGUGUCAAACGUAUCAACUAGAGAGCAAUGUCUGUUCAGUGUACACUUAAACCAACAUUGUGGCAUGUCCUUUUCUUAAGUAUCAUGGAGCAAAGAAAGAAAGUAAACAUCGUGCAUGUCCCCGAGUUUGCAACACAUAACUCGUUUGACAUCAUUGGCAUCAGUUGCUUAAUUACCAAGUGGGAAUGUUUGUAAAAUGAAAUACAAAGUUUCUGUCUUUACCUUUACCCUGUCUUUGUCUCCUAUAAAAUUAUCAAUGAUGUUUUAACUGUUCUUCUUAGUCUGUUAUAAUACUGUUACUUGCAGAUGUGAUGAUAUCCACCCUGAUAAGAAGAGCUGUAUUAGAUGGGCCCAAGGGUCCAUCUUGCCCAGCAUCAUGUCUACAGCAGUGACUGUGAGUGGAUGGCUGAGAAAGAUGAAGCUCAAUGUUGGUAUAUAUGAUAUUUCCCCCUUACACUGUCCCACUCUACAGCAAUUUUCAAUCCAGGUUCUAACAUGCUUUUUUACUAUGUCUCUGCCUUAAAAUUUUUGAGAUUUCACAGAUACACCUACAAGAAUGUGUAUUUCCAGGCUGAGCAGAAGAGUUCAAUUAAGCUUCUGAUUAGCAUGACUUUGAGUUUUUCUAUUUAGCAGGGUUGGAGCUGCUUAGUCUGUAAUGGGAAUUACACGUCUGCCAAAAGAAGCUGGAAAAGGAAGAAGAAAUGCAGACAGAAAUAUACUGGAGUGUGACCAUUGUUGACUGUGAAUUUGUUCUUCCUGUUGGGAAGUCUUCUGCCAUCUGCCCGUGCUGACACCUCAUGUUCCCUGCACACACAGACCCUUCACUGGAUAGCGAGACUGAUAGCAACAAAAUGGUGCCAGCUUACACCAAAUUAUCUUUGGUUCUAUGGGCGCUCAGCUAUCUGAAUGAGAGGACUCACCGCUUUGGAAUUAAAGCUGGGAAAUGCUUUUGGAAAAACAGAAGAUGUGCUGGAUGAGGAUAGUGUUGUCCCUCUGGCCUGGCAGGUCACAAUUGAAUUAACCAUGAGAUAUUUAACAGUAAAGUGGAGGAGAAAGCCGAAAAAGUAGGAGAGUAACUGCUUGAAAACUGCUGGAAUAAAGAAACCGAGGCCAAGGCUUGAGGCAUCCUGCUUGAAAUGUAACAUAGAGAGGAGAUGCAACAGGCAGGUGGGGAAAACUGGCUGUGAAACAGGCCUCCCAAAUACAUCCUUACACUGCUUCCACCGUGGCUCAGAGCAGUGGCAACAGUAUUUUGAUUGCACUGUUGUAAUUAAGGCUAAUCAACACCAAAUGGUGUUUUGCCUGUAGUACAGUUUUUCUGUAUCAUGUUUGUAGUAGUCUUCUCAUAAAUAUUCCUGGAAAAGUUUUGGUUUUCUCCCAAAUGAGAAUGGGGGAAGAGAAUGGCACUCAUAAGAGCAA